GGUUGAUCCUGCCAGUAGUCAUAUGCUUGUCUCAAAGAUUAAGCCAUGCAUGUCUAAGUAUAAACAACUUUAUACUGUGAAACUGCGUACAGCUCAUUAAAUCAGUAAUAAUUUAUUUGAUGGUCUCUUCUACAUGGAUAACCGUAGUAAUUCUAGAGCUAAUACAUGCGUAAAGUCCCGACUCGCGAGGGGAGGGAUGUAUUUAUUAGUUAAAAAACCAAUGCGGGCCUCUGGUCCGGUAUCUUGGUGAGUCAUAGUAACUGUCUCGAAGCGCAUGGUCUCGUACCGGCG
RNAcentral lists this ribosomal RNA (291 nucleotides) under uncultured eukaryote. RNAcentral's name for it is "partial 18S ribosomal RNA". It matches the Rfam family "Eukaryotic small subunit ribosomal RNA", at positions 6 to 289 of the family's 1831-position model. The record is from RNAcentral.